UUGGAAACUGGUUAACUUGAGUGCAGUACAGGUAAGCUGGAACUCCAUGUGUAGCGGUGGAAUGCGUAGAUAUAUGGAAGAACACCAGUGGCGAAGGCGGCUUACUGGACUGCAACUGACGUUGAGGCUCGAAAGUGUGGGUAGCAAACAGGAUUAGAUACCCUGGUAGUCCACACCGUAAACGAUGAACACUAGGUGUUAGGAGGUUUCCGCCUCUUAGUGCCGAAGCUAACGCAUUAAGUGUUCCGCCUGGGGAGUACGACCGCAAGGUUGAAACUCAAAGGAAUUGACGGGGACCCGCACAAGCGG
RNAcentral lists this ribosomal RNA (309 nucleotides) under uncultured bacterium. Its description in RNAcentral is "bacterial SSU rRNA". It matches the Rfam family "Bacterial small subunit ribosomal RNA", at positions 626 to 932 of the family's 1533-position model. The record is from RNAcentral.